UUGCGACACGUUGCCUUUCUGGAUCACUUGUGCCAUAUGGAACCUCCCCUCGUGGCACAUAACUCACUUUUAUGAGGGCUUCAUUGGCUAAUGAUGGAACAGUGCACGAGCACUGAGCACGGAGGUGUUGUCCCCACGACUGUCGCUCCCUCCGCCGUCGCUGCCGCUGUCACUCUGAUCCCUGCUGAGAACUCUACCGCUGGCUUCAGAGGCUCCUGAACUCCGUUACCUGAUGUUUGAGUGAUGCCGGUGUCGGCAAUAUUUCUUCGCCUUUUUCCCGACAGACACCUUCAUCAUCGUGAAAACUCCAGUUAACCCACCAGGAGGAGAAAGCAAAGUGGCCGAUGAGCCAGCGGAGUGGAUGUGACGGCCGCUUAAGCGGUGACAAGCAGAAGGAACGAGACUGUACAACUCUACGGAUCUGUACGACGAAAGAGGAGAGGACAGAACCAAGAACUCUUUCCGUCCGCUG
Molecule: long non-coding RNA, 472 nt
Organism: Gasterosteus aculeatus aculeatus (three-spined stickleback)
Lineage: Eukaryota; Metazoa; Chordata; Actinopteri; Perciformes; Gasterosteidae
Source: Ensembl